GCCGCCAUGGCGCAGUGGUAACGCGUCGCACUUGUAAUGCGAAGAUCCCUAGUUCAAUUCUGGGUGGCGGCA
Molecule: transfer RNA, 72 nt
Filed under: Pseudogymnoascus destructans 20631-21
Lineage: Eukaryota; Fungi; Ascomycota; Leotiomycetes; Thelebolales; Thelebolaceae
Description: tRNA-Thr (TGT) (tRNA-Thr-TGT-1-1)
Rfam family: tRNA
About the family: Transfer RNA (tRNA) molecules are approximately 80 nucleotides in length. Their secondary structure includes four short double-helical elements and three loops (D, anti-codon, and T loops). Further hydrogen bonds mediate the characteristic L-shaped molecular structure. tRNAs have two regions of fundamental functional importance: the anti-codon, which is responsible for specific mRNA codon recognition, and the 3' end, to which the tRNAs corresponding amino acid is attached (by aminoacyl-tRNA synthetases). tRNAs cope with the degeneracy of the genetic code in two manners: having more than one tRNA (with a specific anti-codon) for a particular amino acid; and 'wobble' base-pairing, i.e. permitting non-standard base-pairing at the 3rd anti-codon position.
Source: RNAcentral